CCAUCCCACUGCUAAGCCUUUAUAAACGAAAAUCUCAAGAAAAGCUCGCUUGUAUUUGAAACAGUCCCAGUUCUCAUGUCCUUCUAUAAAAGAUGCUACUGGAUGUUCUGUAAUGGCAAAGAGAGGCUUGACAGUAAUGUCACUUACAGCUUUAAGUUAAAGGUCCUAUAAACUGAAAACUAUAAAGUUUUUGUGUUUAACACCUGCUUUCAGUACUUUAAAGCUAAAACUGGCACCGUGAACUUUGACUUAAUGUACAGCUGUGAGCUAACAAGUAACCAGCACCAGACUAACACCUCGUUAUACCAUCACCCAGAACUUCAUGCUAUCAUAAUCCAACAUGUGCAUACGCAGGAAAAUGCCUCACAUUUGCAUGAAUUUCUCAAGCAGUCAAGCCCUCAUCCUACAUCUUAUCAGCGCCCUCAGUGAUAGUGUGUGAAGUGUGUGUGAAACAGAUAGAAAGAGAUGCGGGAAUCUUCACAGACUCUCCCCCUCGCUGUUAUAUGGCACAAGUCUAAACGUGCAUCCUACAACUCUGCAGAAUGACUCAGAUGAAUCCUGUGAAGAUUAUUCCACCUUAUUAGGCAGGAUUGCUGUGCCGUGUCCAAGUCCCCUCCUACUAUUCUUUGUCGGCCUGAUGCUAAUUCAUACACCUGAUGCUGCCUCAGAGGCAGUUGCGCAACUUUCGUUUCCAAGAAGGCGCGAUGAGAGGCUCGCCAACAUUUGAGUGGACACCUUCGUGGACAGAGCAUCCAUGUAGAAACAGAGACAGGACAGAAAAACAGAGACUUCACGAGGAAUUCGGAGAUGUAAUGUUUGUUGUUUUGCCCUUUUGCUGAUGUCAGAAUCCUCUCAGGCUCUUAACCUCUUUAUCUAAAUAAACACUGACAUAGAAGAGCACAAUAAGCACUUGGAUAGAAAGAGUGUGCAUAGCUGCUUUUUGCAAAUGUUUCCAGCUCAGCGUUUAGAAUCUUCUCUCUGGAUGCAAAAUGUUUUAUUCUGAAGAUUUUGAACCUUUUAAAACACAAGCUAGACAUUAUGACAUGUUUGUGGAAAACAUGAAAUAGUCCAAAACAAAUCAUGAAAAAUGUGUGUUAAACUACCCCUGCUGAAUCAUCCCAGUGUUGUACUUGUGUUAGUACACCUUCAUUGCUUCUUUUUUACUUUCUGUUCUUAUUUUUAUUGCUUUUUAAGUUAUGAGAAUAAAGUUGGUUAUCAUUU
Oreochromis niloticus (Nile tilapia) is the source of this 1221-nucleotide long non-coding RNA. RefSeq lists it as uncharacterized. The transcript is spliced from 2 exons. The record is from RefSeq and is a predicted model, not a curated record. Lineage: Eukaryota; Metazoa; Chordata; Actinopteri; Cichliformes; Cichlidae.